UAGGGAAUUUUCCACAAUGGACGCAAGUCUGAUGGAGCAACGCCGCGUGAGUGAAGAAGGUUUUCGGACCGUAAAGCUCUGUUGUUGGUGAAGAAGGAUAGAGGUAGUAACUGGCCUUUAUUUGACGGUAAUCAACCAGAAAGUCACGGCUAACUACGUGCCAGCAGCCGCGGUAAUACGUAGGUGGCAAGCGUUGUCCGGAUUUAUUGGGCGUAAAGCGAGCGCAGGCGGAAGAAUAAGUCUGAUGUGAAAGCCCUCGGCUUAACCGAGGAAUUGCAUCGGAAACUGUUUUCUUGAGUGCAGAAGAGGAGAGUAGAACUCCAUGUGUAGCGGUGGAAUGCGUAGAUAUAUGGAAGAAUACCAGUGGCGAAGGCGGCUCUCUGGUCUGCAACUGACGCUGAGGCUCGAAAGCGUGGGUAGCGAACAGGAUUAGAUACCCUGGUAGUCCAUGCCGUAAACGAUGAGUGCUAAGUGUUGGGAGGCUUCCGCCUCUCAGUGCUGCAGCUAACGCAUUAAGCACUCCGCCUGGGGGAGUACGACCGCAAGGUUGAAAC
This 554-nucleotide ribosomal RNA is filed under the name uncultured bacterium. RNAcentral describes it as "partial 16S ribosomal RNA". It matches the Rfam family "Bacterial small subunit ribosomal RNA", at positions 355 to 900 of the family's 1533-position model. The record is from RNAcentral.